Molecule: ribosomal RNA, 1404 nt
Filed under: Penaeus penicillatus
Lineage: Eukaryota; Metazoa; Arthropoda; Malacostraca; Decapoda; Penaeidae
Description: 16S ribosomal RNA
Source: RNAcentral
AUUGGAUCCUAAGUCCAAUGCAUAACUCUGCCAAGGCAACAGACAUAUUAUGCUUAAUCACAUCAAAUAGAAAUUAUUCCAGCUACCUAAUCCUUUCGUACUAAGAUACCUUUUAUAAAAUUAAGAGAUAGAAACCGACCUGGCUCACGCCGGUCUGAACUCAAAUCAUGUAAGGAUUUAAAGGUCGAACAGACCUUCCUUUAUAACUGCUGCAUCAUAAGGAUACCUUAAUUCAACAUCGAGGUCGCAAACCUUCUUGUCGAUAGGGACUCUCAAAGAAGAUUACGCUGUUAUCCCUAAAGUAACUUAAUCUUUUAAUCGCUAAUAGAGGAUCACACUAAUUUUCAAUUAUAUUUGUUAUUAAAUAUUUAAGAACAGUUACCUAUUAUAUUCUCGUCGCCCCAACGCAACAAAUCUUAAUUAAAACCAAGUUAUACUAACAAUUGAUAGUAUAAUUAAAUUAUUGUCAAGCUUUAUAGGGUCUUAUCGUCCCCUUAAUUUAUUUAAGCCUUUUCACUUAAAAGUUAAGUUCAAUCAUUAUAAUUGAGACAGCUUACUUUUUGUCCAACCAUUCAUACAAGCCUUCAAUUAAAAGACUAAUGAUUAUGCUACCUUCGCACGGUCAAUAUACCGCGGCCCUUUAAACUAAAUCAGUGGGCAGGCUAGACUUUAUAUAACAAUCAUAUAGACAUGUUUUUGAUAAACAGGCAAAAGUAAUAUUUGCCGAGUUCCUUAAUUAUAUCUCAAAUAACUAAAAAUUUUACUUUUAUUUUACUUUAUUUUAUCACAUAUUAUUUCUACUAAUAAAAUCAUUAUUACUUAUGAUAUUUUAUUUAUCACGACAAUUGGCUACUCAAAUCAGAUUUAUUAUCAAAAUAUUAAUAACUUUCAAUAUUGCAUUAACUAGAACGUUUUAUUAAUAUAGCUGUUUUUAAGCCUAACUCAACAAUAUUUUCUUUUCUUUUGAUCAUGAUCCACCUAUUUUAGAAUAAGAAGCUUUUCCCUCCUACUCUUUACUACCUUGUAGCUUUAUUGUGCCACAAGAUAAUUAAAUUUAAUUUAAUUCACCUAUAACCAGAUAUGAAAAAUCGAUUAGCAUUUCACUACUAACACAAACUUUAUAAUUUCAUUAAAACGAAAACUACAUAUUUAUGUUAGCUCUUUUUCUUUCGGGAAUCCUUUUUUAUUAAGCUUAUUUUGAUUUUCCCUAAUACACAAGGUACAAGUUUUUAACUUUACUUUAUAUAAAUUCAAUUUUCAAUAUAUUUCAUCUUUCCUUUACAGUACUUUACUCUAUAACUCUUAUAUAUUUUUUUCGAUUCACUCUACUAAAAUAAUGAAAUUUUAAAAUAAUUUUAUUACUACCAGUAACAACGACAUUAUUAAUUCAGCUAAUAAGAUUUA